GCCCGCUUGCGUCUCUGCCCUCGGGCGCUUGCUUUCUCACCCUCCUAUGGCUUCGCUGGCCCCUCCCCUCCAAUCGCGCCCUUCCCUCUCCCCCUCUCUGCGCCUCAAGAAGAGCUGCGCCCCCCGCGUGUCCGCCACGCUCGUCGUCUCAAACGUGGUUGCUGCUGAAACAUCCCUAAGUUGGUCCUCAAAAGAGAAACUCAAUCUUUCAAGUAAAUGGAAUCAGAGCUCCCUCCAAGAAAUUGAUUGGGAAAACUUGGAGGUUGAUUUGUAUCACUGGACGAGGCCAUUGCGGCCUGUGCAGUGGUACCCUGGUCAUAUUGCUAAAACGGAAAAAGAACUAAAGGAGCAGCUGAAGUUAAUGGAUGUUGUCAUAGAGGUUCGAGAUGCUAGGAUUCCCAUGGCUACUAGUCAUCCUCAGAUGGAUUCCUGGCUUGGAACUCGGAAAAAGAUUUUAGUUUUGAAUAGAGAAGACAUGAUAUCUGCUGCAGACAGAAAUGCAUGGGCGACAUUCUUUGCAAGGCAGGGAAUAAAAGUUGUUUUCUCUAAUGGGCAGCUUGGAAUGGGAACCAUGAAACUUGGGAGACUUGCAAAGUCAUUAGCUGUUAGUGUGAAUACCAAACGUAGAGCAAAAGGACUACUCCCUCGUCCAGUGCGUGCUGGAAUAGUUGGUUAUCCCAAUGUAGGUAAAUCAUCUCUAAUUAACCGUUUGCUGAAGCGAAGGAUGUGUCCAGCUGCUCCUAGACCUGGAGUUACAAGAGAACUGAAAUGGGUACGUUUUGGUAAAGAUCUGGAGUUGUUGGACUCUCCUGGCAUAUUGCCAAUGAGAAUUAGUGACCAGGCAGCUGCUAUCAAGCUUGCAAUAUGUGAUGACAUUGGGGAGAGGUCAUACGAUGUCGCUGAUGUAGCAGCCAUUCUCGUGCAAAUGUUGAUAAGACUUCCUGAAGUAGGUUCAGAAACUCUUCGCAAACGCUACAGGAUUGAUUUACAUGAUCAGUGUGGUAAAACAUUUCUUCAGAAGCUUGCUCUUCAACUGUUCAAUGGAGAUGUUAGCCAGGCAGCUUUCCGCAUCUUGAGUGACUUCAGGAAGGGAAAGUUUGGUCGGGUUGCCUUAGAAAGACCUCCCAGGUGAAGCUGUUACUAUUGAAUUUCUGUAUAUUCUUCAACAGUACUUAGCCCUAGAAGAGAUAAACGAGAAGAAUAUCCUGUAAGCAACUCCUCCUGAACUUGGCGCGACUAUUGGAAAGAAGAUGGAGCACCUAAGUCCUCACAUGCAAAAUUACAUGGAUAGGUUUGAGCCAAGGCCAUAGAAGUGGUGGUGGAGAUCCUAGUGACUUCUCCAACCUCCGUUUUUGUUGCCCCCACAAGGAGGAUCAGAGGAACCAAUCAUCUGCCCUGCACUUGCUUUAGAAAAGUCCACUUGCUGCUGUGUCAAUCUUCAGUUGUAGAUGAGGUGGUUCAUCAGAGGAUAAUAAAUGCUUUGAGCUGGGCAAGAAGAAAGCUACAUUGUCAUUGUUCCAUUCUUGGUUUCACAGAGAUCCUUUCCUCUUUUUCCCCGCAUGCGAAGUUGCAAACAAGCAGAUCACAGGCUGCUAUCAAUUACUGUUUAAUGAAACUACCAACUGUGGAUGUGUUUGGAUAUAGUUUAAUGGUCUCCCCUCCUCUCUCUUCUUAGUUCCUUUUCCAGUCUGGAGUAGUUAAGCUGCACCUUUCCUUGCCCCUUCUAGUUUUCAAGUGGGAUUUAAGAUUAUUUAAGCAAGCAUGUUUUGUAAUAAUGUUAAGCAUUCUGCUUCAAUAUGAAUCCUAUGUCCAAUCUUUUAA
Molecule: RNA transcript, 1821 nt
Organism: Musa acuminata AAA Group (dessert banana)
Lineage: Eukaryota; Viridiplantae; Streptophyta; Magnoliopsida; Zingiberales; Musaceae
Gene name: DAR GTPase 3, chloroplastic-like
Exons: 10
Source: RefSeq, a predicted model, not a curated record